Molecule: ribosomal RNA, 493 nt
Filed under: uncultured bacterium
Lineage: Bacteria
Description: partial 16S ribosomal RNA
Rfam family: Bacterial small subunit ribosomal RNA
Source: RNAcentral
AGUGAACGCUGGCGGUAGGCCUAACACAUGCAAGUCGAACGGCAGCACAGUAAGAGCUUGCUCUUACGGGUGGCGAGUGGCGGACGGGUGAGGAAUACAUCGGAAUCUACUUUUUCGUGGGGGAUAACGUAGGGAAACUUACGCUAAUACCGCAUACGACCUACGGGUGAAAGCAGGGGAUCUUCGGACCUUGCGCGAUUGAAUGAGCCGAUGUCGGAUUAGCUAGUUGGCGGGGUAAAGGCCCACCAAGGCGACGAUCCGUAGCUGGUCUGAGAGGAUGAUCAGCCACACUGGAACUGAGACACGGUCCAGACUCCUACGGGAGGCAGCAGUGGGGAAUAUUGGACAAUGGGCGCAAGCCUGAUCCAGCCAUACCGCGGGGGUGAAGAAGGCCUUCGGGUUGUAAAGCCCUUUUUGUUGGGAAAGAAAAGCAGCAGGUUAAUACCCCGCUGUUCUGACGGUACCCAAAGAAUAAGCACCGGCUAACUUCGUG